GUUUCCGUAGUGUAGUGGUUAUCGCGUUUGCCAAACACGUGACAGGUCCUUGGCUCGAUGCCGAGCGGAAAUG
Gymnothorax javanicus (giant moray) is the source of this 73-nucleotide non-coding RNA. NCBI's taxonomy places the organism in Eukaryota, Metazoa, Chordata, Actinopteri, Anguilliformes, Muraenidae. The record is from the annotation of a GenBank genome assembly.